RNAcentral lists this ribosomal RNA (453 nucleotides) under uncultured Prevotellaceae bacterium. RNAcentral describes it as "bacterial SSU rRNA". It matches the Rfam family "Bacterial small subunit ribosomal RNA", at positions 341 to 792 of the family's 1533-position model. The record is from RNAcentral. Lineage: Bacteria; Pseudomonadati; Bacteroidota; Bacteroidia; Bacteroidales; Prevotellaceae.
ACGGGAGGCAGCAGUGAGGAAUAUUGGUCAAUGGUCGGAAGACUGAACCAGCCAAGUAGCGUGAAGGAUGACUGCCCUAUGGGUUGUAAACUUCUUUUAUGCGGGAGUAAAGUACGUCACGUGUGAUGUUUUGCAUGUACCGCAUGAAUAAGGAUCGGCUAAUUCCGUGCCAGCAGCCGCGGUAAUACGGAAGAUCCGAGCGUUAUCCGGAUUUAUUGGGUUUAAAGGGAGCGUAGGCGGGCGUUUAAGUCAGUGGUCAAAGCGUGUGGCUCAACCAUACCACGCCAUUGAUACUGGAUGCCUUGAGUGCACAUAAGGAUGGUGGAAUUCAUGGUGUAGCGGUGAAAUGCUUAGAUAUCAUGAAGAACUCCGAUUGCGAAGGCAGCUGUCCGGGGUGUAACUGACGCUAAUGCUCGAAAGUGCGGGUAUCAAACAGGAUUAGAUACCCUGGUA